Molecule: microRNA, 23 nt
Filed under: Drosophila virilis
Lineage: Eukaryota; Metazoa; Arthropoda; Insecta; Diptera; Drosophilidae
Description: dvi-miR-9711-5p
Source: miRBase by way of RNAcentral
UCAGUUAGCAAUUGAAGCAUUCA